RNAcentral lists this transfer RNA (77 nucleotides) under Acholeplasmatales bacterium. Its description in RNAcentral is "tRNA-Arg". It matches the Rfam family "tRNA". From Rfam's summary of the family: Transfer RNA (tRNA) molecules are approximately 80 nucleotides in length. The record is from RNAcentral. Lineage: Bacteria; Bacillati; Mycoplasmatota; Mollicutes; Acholeplasmatales.
GCUCCUAUAGCGCAAUCGUAUAGAGCAGAUCCGUCCUAAGGAUAAGGUUGUAGGUUAGAGUCCUAUUAGGAGCGCCA